CGAGUUAACUGAACCUUCGGGGAACGUUAACGGCGUCGAGCGGCGGACGGGUGAGUAAUGCCUGGGAAAUUGCCCUGAUGUGGGGGAUAACCAUUGGAAACGAUGGCUAAUACCGCAUAAUAGCUUCGGCUCAAAGAGGGGGACCUUCGGGCCUCUCGCGUCAGGAUAUGCCCAGGUGGGAUUAGCUAGUUGGUGAGGUAAGGGCUCACCAAGGCGACGAUCCCUAGCUGGUCUGAGAGGAUGAUCAGCCACACUGGAACUGAGACACGGUCCAGACUCCUACGGGAGGCAGCAGUGGGGAAUAUUGCACAAUGGGCGCAAGCCUGAUGCAGCCAUGCCGCGUGUAUGAAGAAGGCCUUCGGGUUGUAAAGUACUUUCAGCAGUGAGGAAGGUGGUAGUGUUAAUAGCACUAUCAUUUGACGUUAGCUGCAGAAGAAGCACCGGCUAACUCCGUGCCAGCAGCCGCGGUAAUACGGAGGGUGCGAGCGUUAAUCGGAAUUACUGGGCGUAAAGCGCAUGCAGGUGGUUUGUUAAGUCAGAUGUGAAAGCCCGGGGCUCAACCUCGGAAUUGCAUUUGAAACUGGCAGACUAGAGUACUGUAGAGGGGGGUAGAAUUUCAGGUGUAGCGGUGAAAUGCGUAGAGAUCUGAAGGAAUACCGGUGGCGAAGGCGGCCCCCUGGACAGAUACUGACACUCAGAUGCGAAAGCGUGGGGAGCAAACAGGAUUAGAUACCCUGGUAGUCCACGCCGUAAACGAUGUCUACUUGGAGGUUGUGGCCUUGAGCCGUGGCUUUCGGAGCUAACGCGUUAAGUAGACCGCCUGGGGAGUACGGUCGCAAGAUUAAAACUCAAAUGAAUUGACGGGGGCCCGCACAAGCGGUGGAGCAUGUGGUUUAAUUCGAUGCAACGCGAAGAACCUUACCUACUCUUGACAUCCAGAGAACUUUCCAGAGAUGGAUUGGUGCCUUCGGGAACUCUGAGACAGGUGCUGCAUGGCUGUCGUCAGCUCGUGUUGUGAAAUGUUGGGUUAAGUCCCGCAACGAGCGCAACCCUUAUCCUUGUUUGCCAGCGAGUAAUGUCGGGAACUCCAGGGAAACUGCCGGUGAUAAACCGGAGGAAGGUGGGGACAACGUCAAGUCAUCAUGGCCCU
Molecule: ribosomal RNA, 1150 nt
Filed under: Vibrio sp.
Lineage: Bacteria; Pseudomonadati; Pseudomonadota; Gammaproteobacteria; Vibrionales; Vibrionaceae
Description: bacterial SSU rRNA
Rfam family: Bacterial small subunit ribosomal RNA
Source: RNAcentral